This 72-nucleotide transfer RNA is filed under the name Bos taurus (domestic cattle). It matches the Rfam family "tRNA". From Rfam's summary of the family: Transfer RNA (tRNA) molecules are approximately 80 nucleotides in length. Their secondary structure includes four short double-helical elements and three loops (D, anti-codon, and T loops). Lineage: Eukaryota; Metazoa; Chordata; Mammalia; Artiodactyla; Bovidae. The record is from Rfam by way of RNAcentral. RNAcentral also lists the same sequence under 4 other names.
UCCCUGCUGACUCAGACAAUAAAGGAUCUGCCUGUAGUGCAGGAGAUCCAGAUUCGAUUCCUGGGUUGGGAA